Molecule: ribosomal RNA, 494 nt
Filed under: uncultured bacterium
Lineage: Bacteria
Description: bacterial SSU rRNA
Rfam family: Bacterial small subunit ribosomal RNA
Source: RNAcentral
AGUUUGAUCAUGGCUCAGGAUGAACGCUAGCGGCAGGCCUAAUACAUGCAAGUCGAACGCUCAGUAGCAAUACUGGGAGUGGCGCACGGGUGCGUAACGCGUACACAAUCUACCUCUAAGCGGGGGACACCUCCUGGAAACGGGGAUUAAUACCGCAUAAUAUGCCGAGGUCGCAUGACUUUGGUAUUAAAGCAGCAAUGCACUUAGAGAUGAGUGUGCGUCCCAUUAGGUAGUUGGUGAGGUAACGGCUCACCAAGCCUAUGAUGGGUAGCCGGUCUGAGAGGAUGGUCGGCCACACGGGCACUGAGACACGGGCCCGACUCCUACGGGAGGCAGCAGUAAGGAAUAUUGGUCAAUGGUGGAAACACUGAACCAGCCAUGCCGCGUGGAGGAAUAAGGUCCUACGGAUUGUAAACUCCUUUUGACGAGGAAGAAAGUGUUAGAUUUAUCUAAUUUUGACGGUACUCGUAGAAUAAGCACCGGCUAACUCCGUG